Molecule: long non-coding RNA, 246 nt
Filed under: Helianthus annuus (common sunflower)
Lineage: Eukaryota; Viridiplantae; Streptophyta; Magnoliopsida; Asterales; Asteraceae
Description: hypothetical non coding rna
Rfam family: tRNA (bases 172-245)
Source: RNAcentral
CGUAUCGUAUCGUAUAAUAUCGUAUCGUAUAGUGUCGUGUCAUAUCGUGUCGUGUGGUGUCGUCUCGUCUCGUCUCGUCUCGUGUCGUCUCUUGGCGUAUCGUCUCGUGUCAUGUCGUCUCGUCUGGUAUGGUAUGGCAUGGCAUGGCAAGGCAUGGCAUGGUAUUUUAUAGGCCCUGUAGCUCAGAGGAUUAUAGCACGUGGCUACGAACCACGAUGUUGGGGGUUCGAAUCCCUCCUCGCCCAU